CCUACGGGAGGCAGCAGUGGGGAAUAUUGGACAAUGGGCGAAAGCCUGAUCCAGCAAUGCCGCGUGUGUGAAGAAGGCCUUCGGGUUGUAAAGCACUUUUAUCAGGAGCGAAAUCUGGUGGGUUAAUACCCUGCCAGUCUGACGGUACCUGAGGAAUAAGCACCGGCUAACUCCGUGCCAGCAGCCGCGGUAAU
This 194-nucleotide ribosomal RNA is filed under the name uncultured Luteibacter sp. Its description in RNAcentral is "partial 16S ribosomal RNA". It matches the Rfam family "Bacterial small subunit ribosomal RNA", at positions 338 to 524 of the family's 1533-position model. Lineage: Bacteria; Pseudomonadati; Pseudomonadota; Gammaproteobacteria; Lysobacterales; Rhodanobacteraceae. The record is from RNAcentral.